UUUAGUAUCAUCGUUUGUUAUUAAAAAAAAAAAUUAUCAUAAUGACAGAUAUUUAUGUCAAAGAUUUUUUAGUUUUGUGUGGCUUGGAUGAAUAUUCUGAAGUUUUUGAAGAUUACGGCGUUGAUAAAAAAAGUUGUUUCGAUUAAACGAUAAUCUAAUAAAUAAUUACGUCUCCAGUCCAGAGCAUAGAAUUAUAUUGAAGACUAAAUUGAAAGAAAUAAUAUCUAACAAUGACAACUGUGGAGAAAACGACGAAGAUGGUUUAUCAGUAGUAUCUUAUGAAGAAAAUGUAGCUCUCGAAGUUUUGACUGAUAUUUAUGCCCAAAAAAUUUGUUUGUUUAGCAGAAUAUCUGUAUCUGAAAUCGAAAAAAUUCUUCACUCAAAUUAUAUAACAAAUUAUUUGGUUAAUAAUUAUAAACCUGAUGUUGGAAUUGAUGAUUCACAAUCAAAUUGUAUUGUAGACGUAAUUGCUAAUAAUUUGCUGUUAAUUACUGAAGACUGGGAAAGUCCACACUAUGAGACUAUUGCAAAAAAUAUCAUAAAAAUUUUUCCAAGUGAAGAUUUAGCUACUUACUAUAUUCCACGAAUAUUAAAAAAAGAAUCUCGUGACAACGCAUAUCAUCCUCCUCGUGGAAAAAUCGUUGACAAGUUUAAAAAUUCAAAAUAUGAAUGUCGUAAGUAUUCAGGACGCUGUCAAAAAAGAUUGAGAGAUCCGUCAUCAGAUGAAAAUACUGCUAAGAUUCCUAAACUUGAUGCAAAACUUAAACGUACAAGAUAGCGUAAAGUGGUUGGAGGAAUUCGAGUACCCAAAUGAAGAUCUUAUUACACAUUGGAAUAUUGCAGCUAACUACCGUUCUGAUUGGAUAAAAAAAAGCAACUCCGGAGUAGCCGAUAUUAUCACUGCAUGGCCAGUUUUAAAAAACCCUGCAGUUGGUAUCAAAUUAAUUCUUGAAGACUUUAAUAGUUUAGGUCUAAUCACUGGAAAUCCAAUAAGUAAAUGGGGUAAAUUUAUAAAAAAUAUACGGGAUUUAACGACACCACUAAAAAACGACUACGUCAAGACUUUGUGUGAAGUCAUUGAGUUGGAGUCAUCAUCAAAGAAUUCUCGAGUUGUUGCUCAAUUAUUAUUGAUUCCUCAUCUUAUCGCUCCGAAAGUGAAAUUAUCGAAAACUAAUGAAUUUAAAUCUCCAAAAUGUUCAACUCAAAUUACAAAAAACAGUCUUGUAAUUAUUGUAAAACGCAUGAUGAUAUCAAGAAAGCUUCAGGUAAUACAUUUUUACCUCCGCACAUUGUUGCGAUUGGGCAAGCUGUUUCCUACAUCAAGGCAUUGUAUCUUUGUGUGGAUUCGAUAAAGUAUCCUGUUGAAGGUAUACAAGCUAUUGACGCUUGUUUUAAAUUUUACUUCGUUUUUUAUAUUAACUACCCUAAAGCAAGCCGUUAUAUAUGGAAUACAAUACAACAAGUUUUAUACAAUUUUACAACUAAACAAGAUUACCAAGAGUCUCAUGUAAUGAGAUUGAUGAAAAAGUUGCAGCGGUCAUUUAAUGAUGACAA
Molecule: long non-coding RNA, 1554 nt
Organism: Microplitis mediator
Lineage: Eukaryota; Metazoa; Arthropoda; Insecta; Hymenoptera; Braconidae
Exons: 6
Source: RefSeq, a predicted model, not a curated record